GUUCAAACCUGUAUAUUUUAGUUUGAUUGCAUAGGACUUAUUUGAAAAAGCUGUAAAUUUUGUUUCCGGUGCCUAGAACCAGUACUUAGUGUCUAUAGGGAAGAUCUAAAGAACGCUUUCACAGUGGGGAUCGAACCCGUGACCUCCUGGUUGCUAGGCGGACACCAUAUCCUUUACGCCACAGCUACCUCAGGGUUUGGGGUAACGACACCAAACGCAAAGCCUAUCCCAAGGCAAUGCCCCAUUUGCGUGGUAAAAGGCAACACGACUGUGUACCUCCGGGUAACAGACCACGUUCGCUGGGUGCAAGCGCUGACGGCAGACCCCAUGAAGCCGUUGAUGUCAGAGGCACGUGCUAAGACCGGUCGGAAAGUGAAGAAGACAAAGCCGAGGAAUUACUACUCUUGCUGGCUGUGCGACCGGUCGGUGAUUGACCGGCUGCGUCAUCUAGAACAGGAGCACAAAAUGGAGGCUGGGACAUUCAAUUUUGUUUACACAAGAGGGCCGUUUCCGGAAAGAAAGGUGACCAGCAGACUCGCCACUCAUGAUGACUCGGCAUAGGAGGAUGAGAAGGUGGAGGAUGAGGAGGAGGAGGAAGAGGACUUUUCAUUCCUAAUGCCGAAAUACUGCCUGAGCCUGGAACCCAAUGCAAGGGUGAUGCAUGGUCGGAGAAGCUGCAAUUUCAAUCGUUGACUCAUAUGUAGACUACAUGUUCCUGCGGAGCAGGCCAGGUGGGUUGGCAAACGAGUCGAAAACACAAGAGGUCAACAUGAAGAUCAACCGGUUCCUGGCCCUGUCUGGCUACUUGGAAGGAGUGGUGUUGAGUGACAUGCUGUUGUGGAUGGGCCAUAUGGAGGUCCACGACAGUUCCUCAACACCACUCACCAGCUGAAGACGGUGCGGAAUGCACUAACGGCAAUCAAGAACUUCCUGAAGUGGUGCGAGGGAAUGGUCUAGCGGACGCCCGCACAUUGAACAAUGCUUCCUGACCUCAACCUGCCUGGAUAAGAGCCGUCGCGAGGUUGUUCGGAGGGUAGAGGAGAGUGCGGCCAUCCUGACGGACGCAAACCUGGAGCGCCACUUCACUGAGAGUGAGCAUGUAGUGAAAACGAUCAAGGUGAUCCAGGAGCCCCCAGCUGGCACACCUGAAAGAUAUUCGGGGAAUAAUCAUUUAACUGAUAGCGCUCUAUAACGCCUCCUGAACUGGCAAGUGUACCUAGAGAUUGAGCUGGAGACAGUGAAGGUGCUGACCUCUGUGUGGAACACUUAGAAGCUGGCAAGUUUUCAUAUUGAAGGGUAUGGUUCCCAACCGCCCAUCACACACAGAAUGAAGCUUGUCGUCUUCCGCAGUAAAAACUGGGUGCUGGAAGAUGCUUACUGCUAUAUUGACUGCUUCCGAGCGCUUCCUGGACCUAAAAAUUAUCUCCCAGCAGCAACCUCCCCAAGGUGUGACGAGAGUCUUCAAGUGUUCCAGACGGCUGGUGAUGCAUUUCAAGAAAAGCCAUCAGAAUCUUGCAAUGAUCUGUAUACUUAAUAAAUGACAAAACAACAA
This is an RNA transcript of Dreissena polymorpha, 1552 nucleotides long. RefSeq lists it as uncharacterized. The record is from RefSeq and is a predicted model, not a curated record. The transcript is spliced from 8 exons. NCBI's taxonomy places the organism in Eukaryota, Metazoa, Mollusca, Bivalvia, Myida, Dreissenidae.